AGAGCUCUGACCUUCACCUAGAUCUGGCAGCUGCUGGCAACAGGGAAGCAGGAUGUUUUGUAUCCAAACUGGUGCUCACUCUCUGUCAACCUAAGGUUUGCUGUCAGAUAAAUAUGGAUGGAAUCUCCCCUAAGCCUACGAAAAUCUCUUUAAUGAAUCAUCUGCUACAUCCUAGCAAGAUUUAAUUAGUUUAUCAUACAUCCAGAAGGACUCUAGGAUUUCGGAACAAGAGGAAUAAGUUCUAUGCCUUCUGCUUUGUAACAACUGUGAAGAUCUUCAGCAGCCAUGGAUUUUCUGUCCUUUUUGAUCCAGUUCAUUACAUCUGACAAUGCACUUCAAGUCUAUGCUGUCAACUGUGAAGAAAAGGAAGGAUAGAAAGUGAAUGCAAAAGCAAAUCACAUCUGACUGCAUACCUAGGAAAAUGUAAAUGACCUUCUUUUCCUCCUGUUAUUCCGGGACUUGGAAAUCAAAAGUAAAAAACAUCUGUGUGGCAACGUAAGGGUGAGAAAAGAUGUUGUAUAUACCGUUGUAAUUGAUGAAAGAGAUUGUCUCUAGUUGACACUAGCAGGCACAAAAAGUGUGGAAAUGCUGUACUAGUAAAGGCACUAAAGAUUCAGAAAGCAUGCUAGUUGUGGGCAGUACACAGAUUAAUUCCUAGUCUCUAAAACACUGUUUGCUGUACAGUGUAAGCACUGGUUGUUUGCACUACUAUUUAAUGUUGCAGAUAUUUAUUGAUGACAAAAUGGGACCUGCCUCCGUGAGGUAAAAGAUCUUCUGUGUAUGAGUUUGAUCCUGAGGCCAAGUUUAGGAAUGUAUAUUUCCACAAACAGAAUAAUCUCUUCAUCUGAGAGAUGCAGAGCAGA
Molecule: long non-coding RNA, 863 nt
Organism: Mauremys reevesii (Reeves's turtle)
Lineage: Eukaryota; Metazoa; Chordata; Testudines; Geoemydidae
Exons: 3
Source: RefSeq, a predicted model, not a curated record